GUGGGGAAUAUUGGGCAAUGGGGGAAACCCUGACCCAGCAACGCCGCGUGAAGGAAGAAGGUUUUCGGAUCGUAAACUUCUAUCCUUGGUGAAGAUAAUGACGGUAGCCAAGAAGGAAGCCCCGGCUAACUACGUGCCAGCAGCCGCGGUAAUACGUAGGGGGCAAGCGUUGUCCGGAAUGAUUGGGCGUAAAGGGCGCGUAGGCGGCCUGGUAAGUCUGGAGUGAAAGUCCUGCUUUUAAGGUGGGAAUUGCUUUGGAUACUGUCGGGCUGGAGUGCAGGAGAGGUAAGCGGAAUUCCCGGUGUAGCGGUGAAAUGCGUAGAGAUCGGGAGGAACACCAGUGGCGAAGGCGGCUUACUGGACUGUAACUGACGCUGAGGCGCGAAAGUGUGGGGAGCAAACAGGAUUAGAUACCCUUGUAGUCC
This 425-nucleotide ribosomal RNA is filed under the name uncultured bacterium. RNAcentral describes it as "partial 16S ribosomal RNA". It matches the Rfam family "Bacterial small subunit ribosomal RNA", at positions 354 to 796 of the family's 1533-position model. The record is from RNAcentral.